Long non-coding RNA from Aquila chrysaetos chrysaetos, 352 nucleotides. RefSeq lists it as uncharacterized. Lineage: Eukaryota; Metazoa; Chordata; Aves; Accipitriformes; Accipitridae. The transcript is spliced from 3 exons. The record is from RefSeq and is a predicted model, not a curated record.
GAAGAAACAAGAUGGAUGCAAAACAUUAUUAUGUGGAUUACGCAAGCGCUUUCACUGCUGUGUUUAUUUUAGCCUCAUUCUCUUUUGCUCUCUCCCCUUUUAGCUGCCAGAUCUACGAGAGAGAGAGAGACAGCGAGAGAAAGGAUAUCCAGUGAUUUCAGUGUAACUGAUCAGGCUCACGGAGCUGAAGGCAUCAACAUCUGAGUGAGGAAACAAAUUGCACUGGUAUUUCUCCAGGAAUGAAGAUCAGGUCUUGAUGGAAUUUGAAUCCCUGACUAUGACUGCUGAAGGAAACCACACUGCAAUCUGAGCUAAGAGGAAGAUGAGAAAGCACAACCUGACACUGGAUUUG